RNAcentral lists this ribosomal RNA (977 nucleotides) under Kytococcus sedentarius. RNAcentral describes it as "bacterial SSU rRNA". It matches the Rfam family "Bacterial small subunit ribosomal RNA", at positions 62 to 1017 of the family's 1533-position model. The record is from RNAcentral. Lineage: Bacteria; Bacillati; Actinomycetota; Actinomycetes; Micrococcales; Kytococcaceae.
UCGUGAAAUUGUAGUAACAUACAAGAGCGUAACGUGUGAAGCGGGUGCUUGCACUCGUGGAUCAGUGGCGAACGGGUGAGUAACACGUGAGUAACCUGCCCUCCACUCUGGGAUAAGCGCUGGAAACGGCGUCUAAUACUGGAUACGACCGACCCUCGCAUGGGGUGUUGGUGGAAAGAUUUAUCGGUGGUGGAUGGACUCGCGGCCUAUCAGCUUGUUGGUGGGGUAAUGGCCUACCAAGGCGACGACGGGUAGCCGGCCUGAGAGGGCGACCGGCCACACUGGGACUGAGACACGGCCCAGACUCCUACGGGAGGCAGCAGUGGGGAAUAUUGCACAAUGGGCGAAAGCCUGAUGCAGCGACGCCGCGUGAGGGAUGACGGCCUUCGGGUUGUAAACCUCUUUCAGCAGGGAAGAAGCUUUUGUGACGGUACCUGCAGAAGAAGCACCGGCUAACUACGUGCCAGCAGCCGCGGUAAUACGUAGGGUGCGAGCGUUGUCCGGAAUUAUUGGGCGUAAAGAGCUUGUAGGCGGUUUGUCGCGUCUGCUGUGAAAAUUCAGGGCUUAACCCUGGACGUGCAGUGGGUACGGGCAGACUAGAGUGUGGUAGGGGAGACUGGAAUUCCUGGUGUAGCGGUGGAAUGCGCAGAUAUCAGGAGGAACACCGAUGGCGAAGGCAGGUCUCUGGGCCAUUACUGACGCUGAGAAGCGAAAGCAUGGGGAGCGAACAGGAUUAGAUACCCUGGUAGUCCAUGCCGUAAACGUUGGGCGCUAGGCGUGGGUCUCAUUCCACGAGAUCCGUGUCGCAGCUAACGCAUUAAGCGCCCCGCCUGGGAGUACGGCCGCAAGGCUAAAACUCAAAGAAUUGACGGGGCUCGCCAUAAGCGGCGGAGCAUGCUGAUUAAUUUCGAUGCACGCGAAGGAACCUUUACUCAGGCUUGACAUGCCACCGGAUCGCCUCANAGAUGGGGUUUCCC